AAGUCUGAAACAAAGCUUCUGAUUGGUCAAAGAUCCAAAAUGGAAGGCUACAAGUCCGCAAACAACAACCGUAGUCUUUUACGUCUUGAAAAACGGGGUCAGAAUGAUCAUUAAAGUCUUUCAAUGUUGGAUUUAUCGUCAUGGACGUGUUGUACAGAGUCUCCGAAAAGACACUGAAGUUCCAGUCCGCGCUCCAAAUCUUCUGAAAGGGCCAGUGUCGCACGGAAGUGUUCGCUUCCCGUCAAAACAAACCACCCAGUGUCAGCGCUGAACAAAGGGAAUCAUAUCAGAAACACGGAGACGACUCCUGGCCAGAUGUGCGUCCAUCCGUCCGUGGACACCAACCGACUGCGGGACAACAAUGACUGUGAUGGCAGCUGGCCAGACACGUGUGCUCCCCCUCUUCAUCCGCAGCUCUCAGGAGAGGAGAUGGAAAAGUCAUCAUUUUAAUAUGACAGCCAUCCAGUUAUCCAGAGCGACAAAGAAUGUGAUCAACAGCUUGAAGGGUCAGAGUGCAGAUCAGUGGGAUCCACAGAAUGAUUGUGUAUGGUGGAGUAUUGAGCACAAAGUGGAGAAACCAACCCUCUCGAACAUGGACAAGUGCUCGAGCAUCCUCCUCUGCAUCGACUUUACUAUUGAUCUUUGGGAUCGAGCUGCAUGAGUGCCGUGGGAGGACAAUUAUGCAACCGUGGAAGUGGGAGGGGACAGAGAAAAGUCCUUCACUUACACUCGAGUGUCACUGGACAUGGACCAGAUCCUUUUUGAGAAAAAAUGAAGGGCUAACAGCAGGUGGCAGCAGAAGCCCAACACUGGGGAGCAACAGCUGAUCUUACAUCCUGAAUAUCCAUCUAGCUGCUGCCAGGUUUGACCCUGCGUUGGAGAAACACCCUGAAUAACUGUAGGUACAGAGCUGAACGAGGGCGAGCGGCUCGCACCUGCUGAGGAAAAACUUUGUUCUUUAUUUGAAUUAUUGGAGGAUGAAGGGGUGGUAGGAAAUGCUUUUCUAAUUACAGGACGGUUGGCGGAUGAUGGGACUGCGGGAUGGAAAUGCUCACAACAGUUUAUCACACUUUUUAGCACAAGGUCAAACCUAAGAACCUUUAUUACUAUCUCAGAGGUCUGAGACUUGACGCUCCAGCUGGCUCGCGUGUCUCUGCUCUUCUUCCUUUUACUCUUGAGUUGCGACCAAACAUUUCUAGUCACAGAACUGGGAAUUCCAGAAAAAAAUCCAUCACUGGAAAAAGAUCCUCGCCCUAUAACUAAUGUGGAACUCUGAACUGGGGCUCGUGCAUUCAAAUCAUUUGAAAAACUGAGUUAUUAAUGUAACCAUGCUUUUUCUUUUACAUGUCCCCAUGAUGACUUGUGGCAACUCUGGAAGCUGCUUUAAGUGUUUGGGGUCACUGUCCAAAGCCUAACAUGAGUUUGCAGAACCAAAUCUCUUGAAACCAUCUCAUCAACAUCUGCUCAUAUGCCCAGCCCUAUAAAAACUCAAGAAUGCUGCUAGCCUGUGUGUUUUACUGCUUACGGGGCUACUUCACUUUUUUCCAUAUGCUG
Scophthalmus maximus (turbot) is the source of this 1554-nucleotide long non-coding RNA. RefSeq lists it as uncharacterized. The transcript has 5 exons. The record is from RefSeq and is a predicted model, not a curated record. NCBI's taxonomy places the organism in Eukaryota, Metazoa, Chordata, Actinopteri, Pleuronectiformes, Scophthalmidae.